This 253-nucleotide ribosomal RNA is filed under the name uncultured bacterium. RNAcentral describes it as "partial 16S ribosomal RNA". It matches the Rfam family "Bacterial small subunit ribosomal RNA", at positions 524 to 776 of the family's 1533-position model. The record is from RNAcentral.
UACGGACCGGACAAACGUUAUUCGGAAUUACUGGGCUUAAAGCGUGCGUAGGCGGCUUGGCAAGUUGGGUGUGAAAUCCCUUGGCUCAACCAAGGAACGGCGCUCAAUACUGCCAAGCUCGAGGAAGAUAGGGGUGAGCGGAACUGAUGGUGGAGCGGUGAAAUGCGUUGAUAUCAUCAGGAACACCGGUGGCGAAAGCGGCUCACUGGGUCUUUUCUGACGCUGAGGCACGAAAGCUAGGGUAGCGAACGGG